This 486-nucleotide ribosomal RNA is filed under the name Triticum aestivum (bread wheat). RNAcentral's name for it is "partial small subunit ribosomal RNA". The record is from RNAcentral. Lineage: Eukaryota; Viridiplantae; Streptophyta; Magnoliopsida; Poales; Poaceae.
CUCGUGGCUCGUGGUUUUCAGCAGGAGCAUGGUCGUGAUUAUGACGAGACUUUUGCUCCUGUGGCCCAUAUGACCACUAUUCGUACACUUCUUGCCGUUGCCUCUGCACGCCACUGGUCUAUAUCUCAGCUUGAUGUUAAGAAUGCCUUUCUUAAUGGUGAGCUGCGUGAGGAGGUGUACAUGCAGCCACCACCUGGGUAUUCUGUUCCUGAUGGCAUGGUGUGUCGUCUUCGUCGCUCUCUCUAUGGCCUUAAGCAAGCCCCUCGCGCCUGGUUUGAGCGUUUUGCCUCUGUGGUCACUACUGCUGGUUUUUCAGCAAGUGCUCAUGAUCCAGCAUUGUUUAUUCACCUUUCUCCUCGUGGCCGGACUCUUCUUCUUCUCUAUGUUGAUAAUAUGGUCAUCGCUGGGGAUGACCCCGAGUAUAUUGCCUUUGUAAAGGCCCGUCUUGGUGAGCAGUUUCUUAUGUCUGAUCUUGGACCUCUUCGC